RNAcentral lists this long non-coding RNA (288 nucleotides) under Mytilus galloprovincialis (Mediterranean mussel). The record is from RNAcentral. Lineage: Eukaryota; Metazoa; Mollusca; Bivalvia; Mytilida; Mytilidae.
UUAAGGUGGUACCCAACACCUUCACUAAAAUUAAUUUGGCUCGUUUAAUUUUCAUAAAAUUUUGGCAUAGUAUUUACUUUGACCCUUUGACAAAAAUGUAAAAAUUUCAAAAAAUUUGAACCAACCAUUUUAUCAGAAAAAUUACACUGGUUAUAUAGCAGUUUGACAAACACUAAUUUUGAUCAUUGAGAAGCUGAAUAUUCCCUUAACAACACAACUUAAUUAAAACGUUUAGCUGAUUUUACAGAGUUAUCUCCCUGUAGUGUUAGGUACCACCUUAAAUACAUU